RNAcentral lists this ribosomal RNA (430 nucleotides) under uncultured bacterium. RNAcentral describes it as "bacterial SSU rRNA". It matches the Rfam family "Bacterial small subunit ribosomal RNA", at positions 28 to 440 of the family's 1533-position model. The record is from RNAcentral.
GAUGAACGCUGGCGGCGUGCUUAACACAUGCAAGUCGAGCGAAGCAGUUAAGUUGAUUUCUUCGGAUUGAUUCUUAACUGACUGAGCGGCGGACGGGUGAGUAACGCGUGGGUGACCUGCCCCAUACCGGGGGAUAACCGCUGGAAACGGCUGCUAAUACCGCAUAAGCGCACAGAGCUGCAUGGCUCGGUGUGAAAAACUCCGGUGGUAUGGGAUGGGCCCGCGUCUGAUUAGGCAGUUGGCGGGGUAACGGCCCACCAAACCGACGAUCAGUAGCCGGCCUGAGAGGGCGACCGGCCACAUUGGGACUGAGACACGGCCCAAACUCCUACGGGAGGCAGCAGUGGGGAAUAUUGCACAAUGGGGGAAACCCUGAUGCAGCGACGCCGCGUGAGCGAAGAAGUAUUUCGGUACGUAAAGCUCUAUCAGC